RNAcentral lists this ribosomal RNA (481 nucleotides) under uncultured bacterium. RNAcentral's name for it is "partial 16S ribosomal RNA". It matches the Rfam family "Bacterial small subunit ribosomal RNA", at positions 28 to 523 of the family's 1533-position model. The record is from RNAcentral.
GACGAACGCUGGCGGCGUGCUUAACACAUGCGAGUCGAGCGGAAAGGCUCCUUCGGGGGUACUCGAGCGGCGAACGGGUGAGUAACACGUGAGUAAUCUGCCCUUGGCUUCGGGAUAGCCACCGGAAACGGUGAUUAAUACCGGAUACGACAACUUCUCGCAUGGGAUGGUUGGGGAAAGUUUUUUCGGCCAGGGAUGUGCUCGCGGCCUAUCAGCUUGAUGGUGAGGUAAUGGCUCACCAUGGCUUCGACGGGUAGCCGGCCUGAGAGGGUGACCGGUCACACUGGGACUGAGACACGGCCCAGACUCCUACGGGAGGCAGCAGUGGGGAAUAUUGGACAAUGGGCGGAAGCCUGAUCCAGCAACGCCGCGUGAGGGAUGACGGCCUUCGGGUUGUAAACCUCUUUCGGUAGGGACGAAGCGCAAGUGACGGUACCUACUAAAGAAGCACCGGCCAACUACGUGCCAGCCGCCGCGGUAA